ACGAACGCUGGCGGCGUGCUUAACACAUGCAAGUCGCACGGAAAGGCCCUGCUUUUGUGGGGUGCUCGAGUGGCGAACGGGUGAGUAACACGUGAGUAACCUGCCCUUGACUUUGGGAUAACUUCAGGAAACUGGGGCUAAUACCGGAUAGGAGCUCCUGCUGCAUGGUGGGGGUUGGAAAGUUUCGGCGGUUGGGGAUGGACUCGCGGCUUAUCAGCUUGUUGGUGGGGUAGUGGCUUACCAAGGCUUUGACGGGUAGCCGGCCUGAGAGGGUGACCGGCCACAUUGGGAAUGAGAUACGGCCCAGACUCCUACGGGAGGCAGCAGUGGGGAAUAUUGCACAAUGGGCGGAAGCCUGAUGCAGCAACGCCGCGUGCGGGAUGACGGCCUUCGGGUUGUAAACCGCUUUCGCCUGUGACGAAGCGUGAGUGACGGUAAUGGGUAAAGAAGCACCGGCUAACUACGUG
This 467-nucleotide ribosomal RNA is filed under the name uncultured bacterium. RNAcentral's name for it is "partial 16S ribosomal RNA". It matches the Rfam family "Bacterial small subunit ribosomal RNA", at positions 29 to 507 of the family's 1533-position model. The record is from RNAcentral.